GUUGAACGCUGGCGGCGUGCCUAAUACAUGCAAGUCGAGCGGAUGGACGGGAAGUUCGCCUCGCUGAAGUUACCGGCGGACGGGUGAGUCAUACGUGGAUACCCUACCUUUAAGACUGGCGUCACUUCGGGAAACCGGAUCCAACACCGGUCGAUAUUUUGAACGGCAUGGUUCAUAAGACAAAGACGGUUUUGCUGUCACUAAGACAUGGUUCCACGCUGCAUUAGCUAGUUGGUAGGGUAACGGCUUACCAAGGCAACGAUGCGUAGCUGACCUGAGAGGAUGAUCAGCCACACUGGAACUGAGACACGGUCCAGACUCCUACGGGAGGCAGCAGUGGGGAAUAUUGGGCAAUGGGCGAAAGCCUGACGGAGCCAUGCCGCGUGUGUGAUGAAGGUCUUCGGAUCGUAAAACUCUGUUAUUAGGGAAGAACGGAAGUGUGUGUAAAUGUGGACGUCUUGACGGUACCUAAUGAAAAAGCACCGGCUAACUACGUG
This 497-nucleotide ribosomal RNA is filed under the name uncultured bacterium. RNAcentral's name for it is "partial 16S ribosomal RNA". It matches the Rfam family "Bacterial small subunit ribosomal RNA", at positions 28 to 507 of the family's 1533-position model. The record is from RNAcentral.